CAACGACACGUGCCUUUG
This 18-nucleotide non-coding RNA is filed under the name Arabidopsis thaliana (thale cress). Lineage: Eukaryota; Viridiplantae; Streptophyta; Magnoliopsida; Brassicales; Brassicaceae. The record is from RNAcentral.